CUGAAGGCUGUCCUAUAGCUUCCCUCCUCUGCUGGCUGCAAACCUUCCAGCUUUCAAACAGAAUUUAUUACAUGGAAUCCAUCCCGGCUCACUUUCUGAAUGCACAAUUUUAAUCCAGCUGGGGGAAGAAGCAGAGGAUGGUGGGGCCUCUUUGCAUUCCUUUGUUGCACAAAUCUGGGAGAGCAUUCCCCUCGUGUGGGGAGCCCACUGCACGGAUGAAAGGCACACUCUCCCUGGAGGAGUUAAAUUGGAAAUCCAAGGAGACUUCUGAGGGUGGGGAGCUCAGAGGAGGUGUGGAGAACAUAUUUCAGCAGUUCCUGAGGUGGCAGGUUUUCUCUGCCUGGCUCCAAGGCUGUCCCUCUUCUGGGCUCCAGAGGCAAGGGAUGCAGCAGCUGACACCAGGAGUUUGAGCCUGGGCUCAGGUGAUGCUGCCUGGUUGUGCUCUUUGGGAGCCGUGCAAAGUGAGGUCAUUUAAGAAGGACACACCUGCCCCUAACAGGCUUUGAAAAUUGACUUCAGAUGCGUGAAAUGGGUCAAUAAAA
Long non-coding RNA from Corvus hawaiiensis (hawaiian crow), 542 nucleotides. RefSeq lists it as uncharacterized. The record is from RefSeq and is a predicted model, not a curated record. Lineage: Eukaryota; Metazoa; Chordata; Aves; Passeriformes; Corvidae. The transcript has 3 exons.